RNAcentral lists this ribosomal RNA (602 nucleotides) under uncultured bacterium. RNAcentral's name for it is "bacterial SSU rRNA". It matches the Rfam family "Bacterial small subunit ribosomal RNA", at positions 842 to 1444 of the family's 1533-position model. The record is from RNAcentral.
AGUGCCGACGCUAACGCAUUAAGCACUCCGCCUGGGGAGUACGNCCGCAAGGUUGAAACUCAAAGGAAUUGNCGGGGGCCCGCACAAGCGGUGGAGCAUGUGNNNNANUUCGAAGCAACGCGAAGAACCUUANCNNNUCUUGACAUCCCGAUGCCCGCUCUAGAGAUAGAGUUUUUNUUCGGAACAUCGGAGACAGGUGGUGCAUGGUUGUCGUCAGCUCGUGUCGUGAGAUGUUGGGUUAAGUCCCGCAACGAGCGCAACCCUUAUUGUUAGUUGCCAUCAUUAAGUUGGGCACUCUAGGGAGACUGCCGGUAAUAAACCGGAGGAAGGUGGGGAUGACGUCAAAUCAUCAUGCCCCUUAUGACCUGGGCUACACACGUGCUACAAUGGUUGGUACAACGAGUCGCAAGCCGGUGACGGCAAGCUAAUCUCUGAAAGCCAAUCUCAGUUCGGAUUGUAGGCUGCAACUCGCCUACAUGAAGUCGGAAUCGCUAGUAAUCGCGGAUCAGCACGCCGCGGUGAAUACGUUCCCGGGCCUUGUACACACCGCCCGUCACACCACGAGAGUUUGUAACACCCAAAGUCGGUGAGGUAACCAUUUA